RNAcentral lists this ribosomal RNA (445 nucleotides) under uncultured bacterium. RNAcentral describes it as "partial 16S ribosomal RNA". It matches the Rfam family "Bacterial small subunit ribosomal RNA", at positions 354 to 796 of the family's 1533-position model. The record is from RNAcentral.
GUGAGGAAUAUUGGUCAAUGGGCGGGAGCCUGAACCAGCCAAGUCGCGUGAAGGAAGAAGGAUCUAUGGUUCGUAAACUUCUUUUGCAGGGGAAUAAAGUGCGGGACGUGUCCUGUUUUGUAUGUACCCUGAGAAUAAGGAUCGGCUAACUCCGUGCCAGCAGCCGCGGUAAUACGGAGGAUCCGAGCGUUAUCCGGAUUUAUUGGGUUUAAAGGGUGCGUAGGUGGUUUGAUAAGUCAGCGGUGAAAGUUUGCAGCUUAACUGUAAAAAUGCCGUUGAAACUGUCGGACUUGAGUGUAAAUGAGGUAGGCGGAAUGCGUGGUGUAGCGGUGAAAUGCAUAGAUAUCACGCAGAACUCCGAUUGCGAAGGCAGCUUACUAAGCUACAACUGACACUGAAGCACGAAAGCGUGGGGAUCAAACAGGAUUAGAUACCCCUGUAGUCA